GAGUUUGACAUGGUCAGGACGAACGCUGGCGGCGUGCCUAAUACAUGCAAGUCGAGCGAGCGGAACUAACAGAUUUACUUCGGUAAUGACGUUAGGAAAGCGAGCGACGGAUGGGUGAGUAACACGUGGGGAACCUGCCCCAUAGUCUGGGAUACCACUUGGAAACAGGUGCUAAUACCGGAUAAGAAAGCAGAUCGCAUGAUCAGCUUUUAAAAGGCGGCGUAAGCUGUCGCUAUGGGAUGGCCCCGCGGUGCAUUAGCUAGUUGGUAAGGUAAAGGCUUACCAAGGCGAUGAUGCAUAGCCGAGUUGAGAGGAUGACCAGCCACACUGGAAC
This 334-nucleotide ribosomal RNA is filed under the name uncultured bacterium. Its description in RNAcentral is "bacterial SSU rRNA". It matches the Rfam family "Bacterial small subunit ribosomal RNA", at positions 9 to 319 of the family's 1533-position model. The record is from RNAcentral.